Molecule: non-coding RNA, 29 nt
Filed under: Mus musculus (house mouse)
Lineage: Eukaryota; Metazoa; Chordata; Mammalia; Rodentia; Muridae
Source: RNAcentral
UCCUUUUGCAUUUUGGUGUCUGGUCAGGA